UACGUAGGGUGCAAGCGUUAUUCGGAAUUACUGGGCGUAAAGCGCGCGCAGGCGGUUUCGCAAGUCUGUCGUGAAAUCCCCCGGCUUAACCUGGGAACUGCGUCUGAUACUGGACGGCUUGAGUAUGGGAGAGGGAUGUAGAAUUCCAGGUGUAGCGGUGAAAUGCGUAGAUAUCUGGAGGAAUACCGGUGGCGAAGGCGGCAUCCUGGACCAUUACUGACGCUGAGGCGCGAAAGCUAGGGGAGCAAACGGG
RNAcentral lists this ribosomal RNA (253 nucleotides) under uncultured bacterium. RNAcentral's name for it is "partial 16S ribosomal RNA". It matches the Rfam family "Bacterial small subunit ribosomal RNA", at positions 524 to 776 of the family's 1533-position model. The record is from RNAcentral.